This 211-nucleotide ribosomal RNA is filed under the name uncultured bacterium. RNAcentral describes it as "partial 16S ribosomal RNA". It matches the Rfam family "Bacterial small subunit ribosomal RNA", at positions 28 to 225 of the family's 1533-position model. The record is from RNAcentral.
GACGAACGCUGGCGGCGUGCUUAACACAUGCAAGUCGAGCGGUAAGGCCCUUUUGGGGGUACGACGAGCGGCGAACGGGUGGAGUAACACGUGGGUGGACCUGCCCUCCAGCUCUGGGAGUAAGCCUGGGAAACGUGGGUCGUAAUACCGGAUAUGCACUGCUUAUCGCAUGGUGGGUGGUGGAAAGUCCUGUUCUGUAAUGGAUUGGGGC